Molecule: long non-coding RNA, 243 nt
Filed under: Homo sapiens (human)
Lineage: Eukaryota; Metazoa; Chordata; Mammalia; Primates; Hominidae
Description: HSALNT0175111
Source: RNAcentral
AAGGGUUUUCAUUCGAAUAAUUCAGCCCUGGGUUUUCGUCUUGUUACUGUCUUCCUGAAAUACCUCUUGUGCAUUUUGUGUUAUUUUUUACAUUUUUGUUUUAGGACAAAAUGAGAAUUUUGGGGGUUGGACUAAGAUAAAAUGUCAUAUUUCUUGGGAGAGAUAGCACAUAUCCAAAAUACCUCUAAUCUGGGAGUUUUCUUUGUUUCUAAGCUAAGACUAUUCCUGAUUCCUGCAACUUCC